AUGGAAACGUCCACUGGGAUUUGAUAUUUAUUACUGGGUAUUUUGUUUUGUUUUUUUUGGUUUUCAAAGGGUACAGCCACAUCCAGACAUCGCAACGACGAUGAAUGGGAACAACAAUCACAGCUAGAUGCCAACGGACAACUAGGAAAAACUCGACGUUUAUCGGGACCAACGGAGAGGUAACCAGACGCUAUUGAAUAACUGGGAGGGAUACAACCAUACGUC
RNAcentral lists this long non-coding RNA (225 nucleotides) under Lathyrus oleraceus (garden pea). RNAcentral's name for it is "Pisum sativum (pea) long non-coding RNA (PSAT_LNC040657)". Lineage: Eukaryota; Viridiplantae; Streptophyta; Magnoliopsida; Fabales; Fabaceae. The record is from RNAcentral.